This 473-nucleotide ribosomal RNA is filed under the name uncultured bacterium. RNAcentral describes it as "partial 16S ribosomal RNA". It matches the Rfam family "Bacterial small subunit ribosomal RNA", at positions 28 to 507 of the family's 1533-position model. The record is from RNAcentral.
GAUCAACGCUGGCGGCGCACAUAAGACAUGCAAGUUGAACGGACUUAAUCGAAAUAUUUAUAUUUUGAAGCGGUUAGUGGCGGACUGGUGAGUAACGCGUAAGGAACCUGCCUAUUAGAGGGGAAUAACAGUGAGAAAUCAUUGCUAAUACCGCAUAUGCCAUAGAUAUCACAUGAUAACAGUGGGAAAGGAGCAAUCCGCUAAUAGAUGGCCUUGCGUCUGAUUAGAUAGUUGGUGGGGUAACGGCCUACCAAGUCGACGAUCAGUAGCCGGACUGAGAGGUUGAGCGGCCACAUUGGGACUGAGAUACGGCCCAGACUCCUACGGGAGGCAGCAGUCGGGAAUAUUGCGCAAUGGAGGAAACUCUGACGCAGUGACGCCGCGUAUAGGAAGAAGGUUUUCGGAUUGUAAAAUAUUGUCGUUAGGGAAGAGAAAGGACAGUACCUAAGGAGGAAGCUCCGGCUAACUACGUG